GGUCUUCAACGAGGAAUGCCUAGUAAGCGCGAGUCAUCAGCUCGCGUUGACUACGUCCCUGCCCUUUGUACACACCGCCCGUCGCUCCUACCGAUUGAAUGGUCCGGUGAAGUGUUCGGAUCGCGGCGACGGGGGCGGUUCGCCGCCCCCGACGUCGCGAGAAGUCCAUUGAACCUUAUCAUUUAGAGGAAGGAGAAGUCGUAACAAGGUUUCCGUAGGUGAACCUGCGGAAGGAUCAUUG
RNAcentral lists this ribosomal RNA (241 nucleotides) under Calamagrostis purpurea. RNAcentral's name for it is "partial 18S ribosomal RNA". It matches the Rfam family "Eukaryotic small subunit ribosomal RNA", at positions 1595 to 1831 of the family's 1831-position model. Lineage: Eukaryota; Viridiplantae; Streptophyta; Magnoliopsida; Poales; Poaceae. The record is from RNAcentral.